This 427-nucleotide ribosomal RNA is filed under the name uncultured archaeon. Its description in RNAcentral is "bacterial SSU rRNA". It matches the Rfam family "Archaeal small subunit ribosomal RNA", at positions 474 to 903 of the family's 1478-position model. The record is from RNAcentral.
AACCAACUCCCUGAGUGGUGGGAUGAUUAUUGGGCUUAAAGCGUCCGUAGCUGGCCUGGUUAGUCCCGCGUUAAAUCCAGCGACCUAAUCGUUGGGAUGCGUGGGAUACGGUCAGGCUGGGGGGCGGGAGAGGUUAGCGGUACUCCAGGGGUAGGGGUGAAAUCCAAUAAUCCCUGGCGGACCACCAGUGGCGAAGGCUGCUAACCAGAACGCGCUCGACGGUGAGGGACGAAAGCUGGGGGAGCGAACCGGAUUAGAUACCCGGGUAGUCCCAGCUGUAAACGAUGCGGGCUAGCUGUUGGGGUGGCUACGAGCCACUUCAGUGGCGCAGGGAAACCAUAAAGCCCGCCGCCUGGGAAGUAUGAUCGCAAGAUUGAAACUUAAAGGAAUUGGCGGGGAGCACCACAAGGGGUGAAGCUUGCGGUUU